AAUUUAUUUAUUAUCAUUUUUUCCAGCUUUAUAGUGACAUAAUUGACACAUAACAUUGUGUUUGGAUAAAGUGUGAUUAGUGUGGUUCCUCAUCAUCUUACUUCCUUAAGUCACUGAAUGUUGCUUAUUUUCAGAAGAAUAAUGAUUCGGCCAGUGUAGACAAUGCUUCUGGAAAAGAUCCUGAUUCUGGAAAAGAUUGAAGACAAAAGGAGAAGGGGGCAGCAGAGGAUGAGAUGAUUAGAUAGCAUCACCAACUCAAUGGACAUGAACUUGAGCAAACUCCAGGAGAUAGUGAAGGACAAGGAAGCCUGGCAUGCUGCGGUCCAUGGGGUCGCAAAGAGCUGGACGUGACUUACUGACUGAACAGCAACAACAACAGACGGUGUUUCAGGAAAAAGCAACAGUAGCCAAGAUAAAAGUCAUGAGGCCCAGCAAAGGCCAUGCAACUAAGAAGCUUCCGUGAAAUUAGAUGGACUGAACCCAGGACUAGAAGGUUACCAAACUCUAACUAAAAGAGGUAGAAACAGAGACGUGGUCUCCAACCCAGGAACACCUGUGGAAAUACUUGGCCUUCUAGAACCUUCAGAUCCCCUGUAAUGAAUGGAGUAAUCAGCAAGCACACAUUAGGGGUUCACACCAGUCUUUCUGAACUGCCUUUGUUUGUGUUGGAUUGGAUCCACCCCAGAGACAGGCAACAGCUUGGGAGAUGGAAUACUGCUGGGUAAAGUGAUGCCCUGCAGUCAGCUCCGGAUGCGAUUUUAGUUCUGCUCUAGGCUCUGGAAACCACCCUGUGGCUUUAAGCAACCCCUAAAAUAGUCUCACAAAGAGUAGGAUGAUUAUCACCAACAGAACUUGGCUGUGGAACAACUGGUUCACUCAGAUUUUCCUUAAAGUGUGAAACAGAGGAUUAUAGCCCUCAGAAAUAUUGUUUUGAGAAGGGGGAAGUGUGCAUGCUUAUUGAAUUAUUGGGUGAUGUUCCAGUACUCAUUGGAAAAAGGAAGUGGUGGGUGGGCUUUGAAAAGACUGUGAAUGAGCAUGGCCUCUGCUUAUUCAUAUAUUUUAAAUCUGGGUCCAAAG
This is a long non-coding RNA of Bos indicus x Bos taurus (hybrid cattle), 1077 nucleotides long. Lineage: Eukaryota; Metazoa; Chordata; Mammalia; Artiodactyla; Bovidae. The record is from Ensembl.